GGAGGCAGCAGUAGGGAAUCUUCCGCAAUGGGCGCAAGCCUGACGGAGCAACGCCGCGUGAGCGAAGAAGGCCUUCGGGUUGUAAAGCUCAGUCAAUCGGGAAGAGCGGAUGGGAGAGGGAAUGCUCCCAUCGAGACGGUACCGAUAGAGGAAGCCCCGGCUAACUACGUGCCAGCAGCCGCGGUAAUACGUAGGGGGCGAGCGUUGUCCGGAAUCACUGGGCGUAAAGGGUGCGUAGGCGGUUUGUCAAGUCCGAAGUGAAAGUCCAUGGCUCAACCAUGGGAAUGCUUUGGAAACUGGCAGACUUGAGUGCUGGAGAGGCAAGGGGAAUUCCACGUGUAGCGGUGAAAUGCGUAGAUAUGUGGAGGAAUACCAGUGGCGAAGGCGCCUUG
Molecule: ribosomal RNA, 392 nt
Filed under: uncultured bacterium
Lineage: Bacteria
Description: bacterial SSU rRNA
Rfam family: Bacterial small subunit ribosomal RNA
Source: RNAcentral